AGCUUUGUGCAGUGGCAGUAUCAUAGCCAAUGAGGUCUAUCUGAGGCGUGAUUAUUGCUAAUUGAAAACUUUUCCCAAUACCCUGCUGUGACAACUUGCAAUAUAGUCAGCAUUGGCAAUUUUUGGCAGUCUUCAUGGAGA
This 141-nucleotide small nuclear RNA is filed under the name Sapajus apella (tufted capuchin). RNAcentral's name for it is "Cebus apella (Tufted capuchin) U4 spliceosomal RNA". It matches the Rfam family "U4 spliceosomal RNA". From Rfam's summary of the family: U4 small nuclear RNA (U4 snRNA) is a component of the major U2-dependent spliceosome. The structure of U4 snRNA from yeast and human has been reported. U4 snRNA presents a k-turn RNA motif in the 5p-SL related to recognition of Snu13 protein. RNAcentral also lists the same sequence under 1 other name. Lineage: Eukaryota; Metazoa; Chordata; Mammalia; Primates; Cebidae. The record is from Rfam by way of RNAcentral.